UCUUCCAUGAUAAAAACAUCUUCUUAGAUACCCUUUCACUCCUUUUAUGAGUGAAACAUAACAGUCUGACAAAC
Small nucleolar RNA from Phyllostomus hastatus (greater spear-nosed bat), 74 nucleotides. RefSeq annotates it as small nucleolar RNA SNORD101. The record is from RefSeq and is a predicted model, not a curated record. The transcript has a single exon. Lineage: Eukaryota; Metazoa; Chordata; Mammalia; Chiroptera; Phyllostomidae.